UUAAGCGACUAAGCGUACACGGUGGAUGCCCUGGCAGUCAGAGGCGAUGAAGGACGUGCUAAUCUGCGAAAAGCGUCGGUAAGGUGAUAUGAACCGUUACAGCCGGCGAUGUCCGAAUGGGGAAACCCAGUGUGAUUCGUCACACUAUCGUUAACUGAAUACAUAGGUUAACGAGGCGAACCGGGGGAACUGAAACAUCUAAGUACCCCGAGGAAAAGAAAUCAACCGAGAUUCCCCCAGUAGCGGCGAGCGAACGGGGAGCAGCCCAGAGUCUGAAUCAGCUUGUGUGUUAGUGGAACGGUCUGGAAAGUCCGACGGUACAGGGUGAUAGUCCCGUACACCAAAAUGCACAGGCUGUGAACUCGAAGAGUAGGGCGGGACACGUGGUAUCCUGUCUGAAUAUGGGGGGACCAUCCUCCAAGGCUAAAUACUCCUGACUGACCGAUAGUGAACCAGUACCGUGAGGGAAAGGCGAAAAGAACCCCGGCGAGGGGAGUGAAAAAGAACCUGAAACCGUGUACGUACAAGCAGUGGGAGCACCUUCGGGUGUGACUGCGUACCUUUUGUAUAAUGGGUCAGCGACUUAUAUUCUGUAGCAAGGUUAACCGUAUAGGGGAGCCGCAGGGAAACCGAGUCUUAACUGGGCGUUAAGUUGCAGGGUAUAGACCCGAAACCCGGUGAUCUAGCCAUGGGCAGGUUGAAGGUUGGGUAACACUAACUGGAGGACCGAACCGACUAAUGUUGAAAAAUUAGCGGAUGACUUGUGGCUGGGGGUGAAAGGCCAAUCAAACCGGGAGAUAGCUGGUUCUCCCCGAAAGCUAUUUAGGUAGCGCCUCGUGAAUUCAUCUUCGGGGGUAGAGCACUGUUUCGGCUAGGGGGUCAUCCCGACUUACCAACCCGAUGCAAACUACGAAUACCGAAGAAUGUUAUCACGGGAGACACACGGCGGGUGCUAACGUCCGUCGUGAAGAGGGAAACAACCCAGACCGCCAGCUAAGGUCCCAAAGUCACAGUUAAGUGGGAAACGAUGUGGGAAGGCACAGACAGCCAGGAUGUUGGCUUAGAAGCAGCCAUCAUUUAAAGAAAGCGUAAUAGCUCACUGGUCGAGUCGGCCUGCGCGGAAGAUGUAACGGGGCUAAACUGUGCACCGAAGCUGCGGCAGCGACACUAUGUGUUGUUGGGUAGGGGAGCGUUCUGUAAGCCUGCGAAGGUGGCCUGUGAGGGUUGCUGGAGGUAUCAGAAGUGCGAAUGCUGACAUAAGUAACGAUAAUGCGGGUGAAAAGCCCGCACGCCGGAAGACCAAGGGUUCCUGUCCAACGUUAAUCGGGGCAGGGUGAGUCGACCCCUAAGGCGAGGCCGAAAGGCGUAGUCGAUGGGAAACAGGUUAAUAUUCCUGUACUUGGUGUUACUGCGAAGGGGGGACGGAGAAGGCUAUGUUAGCCGGGCGACGGUUGUCCCGGUUUAAGCAUGUAGGCGGAGGUUCCAGGUAAAUCCGGUACCUUUUUAACGCUGAGGUGUGAUGACGAGGCACUACGGUGCUGAAGUAACAAAUGCCCUGCUUCCAGGAAAAGCCUCUAAGCAUCAGGUAACAUUAAAUCGUACCCCAAACCGACACAGGUGGUCAGGUAGAGAAUACCAAGGCGCUUGAGAGAACUCGGGUGAAGGAACUAGGCAAAAUGGUGCCGUAACUUCGGGAGAAGGCACGCUGAUAUGUAGGUGAAGCCCCUGCGGGUGGAGCUGAAAUCAGUCGAAGAUACCAGCUGGCUGCAACUGUUUAUUAAAAACACAGCACUGUGCAAACACGAAAGUGGACGUAUACGGUGUGACGCCUGCCCGGUGCCGGAAGGUUAAUUGAUGGGGUUAUCCGUAAGGAGAAGCUCUUGAUCGAAGCCCCGGUAAACGGCGGCCGUAACUAUAACGGUCCUAAGGUAGCGAAAUUCCUUGUCGGGUAAGUUCCGACCUGCACGAAUGGCGUAAUGAUGGCCAGGCUGUCUCCACCCGAGACUCAGUGAAAUUGAACUCGCUGUGAAGAUGCAGUGUACCCGCGGCAAGACGGAAAGACCCCGUGAACCUUUACUAUAGCUUGACACUGAACAUUGAGCCUUGAUGUGUAGGAUAGGUGGGAGGCUUUGAAGCGUGGACGCCAGUCUGCGUGGAGCCAACCUUGAAAUACCACCCUUUAAUGUUUGAUGUUCUAACGUUGGCCCCUUAUCGGGGUUGCGGACAGUGUCUGGUGGGUAGUUUGACUGGGGCGGUCUCCUCCCAAAGAGUAACGGAGGAGCACGAAGGUUAGCUAAUCCUGGUCGGACAUCAGGAGGUUAGUGCAAUGGCAUAAGCUAGCUUGACUGCGAGCGUGACGGCGCGAGCAGGUGCGAAAGCAGGUCAUAGUGAUCCGGUGGUUCUGAAUGGAAGGGCCAUCGCUCAACGGAUAAAAGGUACUCCGGGGAUAACAGGCUGAUACCGCCCAAGAGUUCAUAUCGACGGCGGUGUUUGGCACCUCGAUGUCGGCUCAUCACAUCCUGGGGCUGAAGUAGGUCCCAAGGGUAUGGCUGUUCGCCAUUUAAAGUGGUACGCGAGCUGGGUUUAGAACGUCGUGAGACAGUUCGGUCCCUAUCUGCCGUGGGCGCUGGAGAAUUGAGGGGGGCUGCUCCUAGUACGAGAGGACCGGAGUGGACGCAUCACUGGUGUUCGGGUUGUCAUGCCAAUGGCAUUGCCCGGUAGCUAAAUGCGGAAGAGAUAAGUGCUGAAAGCAUCUAAGCACGAAACUUGCCCCGAGAUGAGUUCUCCCUGACUCCUUGAGAGUCCUGAAGGAACGUUAAAGACGAUGACGUUGAUAGGUCGGGUGUGUAAGCGUAGCGAUACGUUGAGCUAACCGAUACUAAUGAACCGUGAGGCUUAACCUU
Molecule: ribosomal RNA, 2903 nt
Filed under: Klebsiella aerogenes
Lineage: Bacteria; Pseudomonadati; Pseudomonadota; Gammaproteobacteria; Enterobacterales; Enterobacteriaceae
Also listed under: 2 other names
Description: bacterial LSU rRNA
Rfam family: Bacterial large subunit ribosomal RNA
Source: RNAcentral